Molecule: ribosomal RNA, 500 nt
Filed under: uncultured bacterium
Lineage: Bacteria
Description: partial 16S ribosomal RNA
Rfam family: Bacterial small subunit ribosomal RNA
Source: RNAcentral
AUUGAACGCUGGCGGCAUGCCUUACACAUGCAAGUCGAACGGCAGCACGGGAGCAAUCCUGGUGGCGAGUGGCGAACGGGUGAGUAAUACAUCGGAACGUACCUGAUAGUGGGGGAUAGCCCGGCGAAAGCCGGAUUAAUACCGCAUACGACCUGAGGGUGAAAGCGGGGGAUCGCAAGACCUCGCGCUAUUGGAGCGGCCGAUGGCAGAUUAGGUAGUUGGUGGGGUAAAGGCCUACCAAGCCUACGAUCUGUAGCUGGUUUGAGAGGACGACCAGCCACACUGGGACUGAGACACGGCCCAGACUCCUACGGGAGGCAGCAGUGGGGAGUUUUGGACAAUGGGCGCAAGCCUGAUCCAGCCAUGCCGCGUGCGGGAAGAAGGCCUUCGGGUUGUAAACCGCUUUUGUCAGGGAAGAAAUACUCUGGGCUAAUACCCUGGGGUGAUGACGGUACCUGAAGAAUAAGCACCGGCUAACUACGUGCCAGCCGCCGCCGUAA